GGGUGUAUAGCUCAGUUGGUAGAGCAACUGACUCUUAAUCAGUGGGUCCAGGGUUCGAGUCCCUGUGCGCCUACCA
This 76-nucleotide transfer RNA is filed under the name Alphaproteobacteria bacterium. Its description in RNAcentral is "tRNA-Lys". It matches the Rfam family "tRNA". Rfam says of the family: Transfer RNA (tRNA) molecules are approximately 80 nucleotides in length. Their secondary structure includes four short double-helical elements and three loops (D, anti-codon, and T loops). The record is from RNAcentral. Lineage: Bacteria; Pseudomonadati; Pseudomonadota; Alphaproteobacteria.